UGGGGAAUAUUGGACAAUGGGGGAAACCCUGAUCCAGCAAUGCCGCGUGAGUGAAGAAGGCCUUAGGGUUGUAAAGCUCUUUCGCCCGUGAAGAUAAUGACGGUAGCGGGAGAAGAAGCCCCGGCUAACUCCGUGCCAGCAGCCGCGGUAAUACGGAGGGGGCUAGCGUUGUUCGGAAUUACUGGGCGUAAAGCGUACGUAGGCGAAUGCGCAAGUUGGGGGUGAAAUCCCGGGGCUUAACCUCGGAAUUGCCCUCAAAACUGCACGUCUUGAGACCGAGAGAGGUAAGGGGAAUUCUUAGUGUAGAGGUGAAAUUCGUAGAUAUUAGGAAGAACACCAGUGGCGAAGGCGCCUUACUGGCUCGGUACUGACGCUGAGGUACGAAAGCGUGGGGAGCAAACA
This 402-nucleotide ribosomal RNA is filed under the name uncultured bacterium. Its description in RNAcentral is "bacterial SSU rRNA". It matches the Rfam family "Bacterial small subunit ribosomal RNA", at positions 355 to 774 of the family's 1533-position model. The record is from RNAcentral.